Molecule: non-coding RNA, 487 nt
Organism: Sus scrofa (pig)
Lineage: Eukaryota; Metazoa; Chordata; Mammalia; Artiodactyla; Suidae
Source: RefSeq, a predicted model, not a curated record
UAGAAACGUAUUACUGCCUUGCCAAAUCCCUUCUGUGGAAUUCAACUACUACAUAUUUUUAGGUUAAAGCAAACUAGAGCGCCUGCACUUCAGCCAAAUCUGACUUUGGUUUCAAAUUACCUCAGAGAAGAAUUUUUAGCUGAUAAUUCACUUUAUAUGGUUUGUUUCACAUGGAGAUAGAGUCACAAUGUAUUUGGUUGAAGACCCUAGUUGGAUUCCAUCCGAAGCAGCGAAAUAUUUCCUGAGAAGAGGAGAAAAAGGAGAGUUUCUUUGAACUUCAGAACUAUCUAUGAGCACCUACCAAGAUGAAGCAUUCUGCGAGAGCCCGAGGCUCUAGUAAUAAAGGAGGCAGCCAGAGGCAUGUUCUCAUGAAGCUGAACAUCGAGUGCUGUCAAAUGCGCUAUAAAGAAGUACAUGAAAAAUAAUGAAAAACAGGAGGAGGAGUUCCCGUUGAGGCUCCGUGGAAAUGACUCUGACUAGUAUCCAC